AUUGUCAAUUGGUUUUGAGUUGGA
Molecule: non-coding RNA, 24 nt
Filed under: Arabidopsis thaliana (thale cress)
Lineage: Eukaryota; Viridiplantae; Streptophyta; Magnoliopsida; Brassicales; Brassicaceae
Source: RNAcentral